UACGUAGGGUGCAAGCGUUGUCCGGAAUUAUUGGGCGUAAAGAGCUCGUAGGCGGUUUGUCGCGUCUGCUGUGAAAACGCGGGGCUCAACUCCGCGCCUGCAGUGGGUACGGGCAGACUAGAGUGCAGUAGGGGGAGACUGGAAUUCCUGGUGUAGCGGUGGAAUGCGCAGAGAUCAGGAGGAACACCCGUAGCGAAGGCGGCACUCUGGGCCGAUACUGACACUGAGGAGCGAAAGCGUGGGGAGCGAACAGG
This 254-nucleotide ribosomal RNA is filed under the name uncultured bacterium. RNAcentral describes it as "partial 16S ribosomal RNA". It matches the Rfam family "Bacterial small subunit ribosomal RNA", at positions 524 to 776 of the family's 1533-position model. The record is from RNAcentral.